This 256-nucleotide ribosomal RNA is filed under the name uncultured Caryophanales bacterium. RNAcentral's name for it is "uncultured Bacillales bacterium partial 16S ribosomal RNA". It matches the Rfam family "Bacterial small subunit ribosomal RNA", at positions 642 to 898 of the family's 1533-position model. The record is from RNAcentral. Lineage: Bacteria; Bacillati; Bacillota; Bacilli; Caryophanales.
UUGAGUGCAGAAGAGGAGAGCGGAAUUCCACGUGUAGCGGUGAAAUGCGUAGAGAUGUGGAGGAACACCAGUGGCGAAGGCGGCUCUCUGGUCUGUAACUGACGCUGAGGCGCGAAAGCGUGGGGAGCAAACAGGAUUAGAUACCCUGGUAGUCCACGCCGUAAACGAUGAGUGCUAGGUGUUAGGGGGUACCACCCUUAGUGCCGAAGGUAACCCAUUAAGCACUCCGCCUGGGGAGUACGGCCGCAAGGCUGAA